This 350-nucleotide ribosomal RNA is filed under the name uncultured bacterium. Its description in RNAcentral is "bacterial SSU rRNA". It matches the Rfam family "Bacterial small subunit ribosomal RNA", at positions 355 to 697 of the family's 1533-position model. The record is from RNAcentral.
UGGGGAAUAUUGCGCAAUGGGCGAAAGCCUGACGCAGCCAUGCCGCGUGUGUGAAGAAGGCUUUCGGGUUGUAAAGCACUUUCAAUGGUGAGGAAGGCUGUAAGGUUAAUAACCUUGCAGAUUGACGUUAACCAUAGAAGAAGCACCGGCUAACUCCGUGCCAGCAGCCGCGGUAAUACGGAGGGUGCAAGCGUUAAUCGGAAUUACUGGGCGUAAAGCGCGCGUAGGCGGCUUGGUCAGUUGGGUGUGAAAGCCCCGGGCUUAACCUGGGAACUGCAUCCAAUACUGCCAAGCUUGAGUAUGGUAGAGGUGAGUGGAAUUUCAGGUGUAGCGGUGAAAUGCGUAGAUAU